GCCAAACGAAACGCGAAUUGCGUUAACAAUUGGAGAGUAACAAUCUCAGUCGGUAAAUGGUACUCCCAGUCUUACCAGAUAAUGCGAGUGCAACAGAAAAAGGCGUUGAACCUAUCCCCCACGAGAUGGCGCAGGCUUCCUGUUGCUAGAAUUCCGAUGCUUUUCCCCCCACUUGCGACGGCGCAGCUGGACAGUCGACGUUGCGGCUCUGUGGCGGUGCUGAACAAUAGUUGGACGAGCUUUUUCGAACGGAUUUGCACAAUCUGUUAUUGCGGGUGGGGGAACGGCGCAGAUGGUGGACGUCGGUCGUGAAACGGCGGAGUGCGUCGCGGUGGCCGGCGUAGUGGCGCCCUGCGUUGCGAUGCUGCUCGCCGUGACGCGUGGCGCUGCGGCGCUCUACGCUCUCAUCAGGAGUCCAAACCACUCGAGGAGCUAAGAGCGCCGGGACGUCACCGCGACGAGAGUUCCCACUCCUUACACAAGUCGUAACGAGAUAUCGAUUACACGCCGAGUCCGACAGGGAAGAUAUCGCGAUGCAUACACGGACGCGCGACGCGGUAUCGCAAAAUCUGAUGACCUACGCUUAAUUCUAAUUGAUCGCUAAGUGAUGUGAAACUUGAUAGUCCGAUUGCUAUAAAUAACGUAUGGUAUGCUGAAUUCAAUUAGUCAGCUUGUUUGCGGUCGCGAUUGCCAGCGAGGUGGUGUGGAUUGAUUCAAAAGUUGGCAAGAGGAGGAGGAGGAGGAGGAGGCAAGAUUAUUUCUUGCGCCCCCGAAGGCCAUCCCAGUGGCCUCGACGCCCCGCCGCCGGGUCCGUAGCCAUUUUUCCCAGCGGAACGGCGCCGCCGUCGUUCUCAUCGCGUGCUGUAGCCGGCGACCACGAAUCCCGAGGAGCCAGCUUGUUGUUAUUUUGCCGCGCAGGACCGCCCGCUCAGCCGCCAUAUAACCAGGAGAUCAGGAAGCCGAGGAGCUGCUGCGAGACGCCGGAGACCCCGACGAGGCUUAUACCGUCCUGAUCGGUUGUGAUUAAGGUGCUCGUCCCGACGGCUGAUUGGCCUCGCUAAGAUGCGCGCCUUGCCUAAAUUAUCGCCCGCCAGCCGACCCGGAAUUCCUGCCCUCCUGUCCUCCCGAUCGGCACAGGACGCGGAGGCCACGAAUCUAGGAGGUUAUCGCAUCCCGCCUCAUGGAAUCCUGAUUGCGAGAUUUACAACGUGUUAGACGCAGUGUUGGAGAUGUAAACACGGCAUCGCGGUUAACUGGCAUUCCACCGCAUGACUGAGAGUAAAACUAGUGGUUCUGAAAUAAAACCACCGAAAAUGUGCACAAGAAAAUAUUUGCUUACCGAACGGGUAGUGUGGAUACUAGAAAUAGAAAAGUCCUAGUAUCAACAGCUCUGGUAGUAGACGCUUAAGUCACAGAUUUGAGUGUCACAAUAAAAGCAUUGUUGUCAAUCUCCAUCUCGCCCAGUGUCAUUCUAAUACCCGCGACCAUGGAAUGCCAAAUAGUAACAAAAAGGCGUUGGGGAAGUUCCGGUUGAACGUAGUACAGGAUGUCUUUUUCGAAUCUCCAGACUUCGUCUUGACCCUCUGGUCUACACCUGGGUCAUUAAUGAUCCGACGACACUUUAAAAGUUACGAUCCUGCAAAGGAAAUCUUUCGCGCCUUGCUGUCUUCUUUAAAUACAUAUUUGCUGAACGUAAAUAUAGCAUUUGUGUUUCCAUAUUCUUACU
RNAcentral lists this unclassified non-coding RNA (1726 nucleotides) under Neodiprion lecontei (redheaded pine sawfly). RNAcentral describes it as "carbohydrate-responsive element-binding protein, transcript variant X5". The record is from RNAcentral. Lineage: Eukaryota; Metazoa; Arthropoda; Insecta; Hymenoptera; Diprionidae.